ACCCCGCAUUUAUACGAGCUAAUUGAUCAUCCCUGCUUCUUCAAGGGGAGGAAGUUAUGCUAUACGCUGGCUUCCCUGCCCCCGUUCGCGCCGCCGUUGGACUGUAUCCAAAAGAGAAACCUAGGUCACAGCCUAGCAGUCAGGAGCAAAUGGCGCGGAACGAAGAGAGAGGGACCAAGUCACAAUGCCAGGGCAUCAACUUCAAAGCCAGCUCAGCCUGCAAGAGUAUUUUAAAUUACUGACUUCCGGAGGAUGUUCAUGUGUCAAGGAGCUCCACAGACCUCUGAUCAAGACCUGAAAACUGAACAGACCACGAG
Long non-coding RNA from Anguilla anguilla (European eel), 317 nucleotides. RefSeq lists it as uncharacterized. The transcript is spliced from 3 exons. Lineage: Eukaryota; Metazoa; Chordata; Actinopteri; Anguilliformes; Anguillidae. The record is from RefSeq and is a predicted model, not a curated record.